UGGGGAAUAUUGCACAAUGGGCGCAAGCCUGAUGCAUCCAUGCCGCGUGUAUGAAGAAGGCCUUCGGGUUGUAAAGUACUUUCAGCGGGGAGGAAGGCGAUAAGGUUAAUAACCUUGUCGAUUGACGUUACCCGCAGAAGAAGCACCGGCUAACUCCGUGCCAGCAGCCGCGGUAAUACGGAGGGUGCAAGCGUUAAUCGGAAUUACUGGGCGUAAAGCGCACGCAGGCGGUCUGUCAAGUCGGAUGUGAAAUCCCCGGGCUCAACCUGGGAACUGCAUUCGAAACUGGCAGGCUAGAGUCUUGUAGAGGGGGGUAGAAUUCCAGGUGUAGCGGUGAAAUGCGUAGAGAUCUGGAGGAAUACCGGUGGCGAAGGCGGCCCCCUGGACAAAGACUGACGCUCAGGUGCGAAAGCGUGGGGAGCAAACA
This 427-nucleotide ribosomal RNA is filed under the name uncultured bacterium. RNAcentral describes it as "partial 16S ribosomal RNA". It matches the Rfam family "Bacterial small subunit ribosomal RNA", at positions 355 to 774 of the family's 1533-position model. The record is from RNAcentral.